UGAUGUUAGUAGUAUGUGGGUGCUAUGGUGGAGGUGAUUCCCUAAUGAGCUUUAAAGUUCCUAACAACGAUGAAAGGUAAUGAUAUACAGGGUGAGAACAAAGUUUUUGCCUUGUUUAUAAAAAAUUAUAACCGUUUGACAUAAUAAGUUACAUUUGAUGCCCUUACAUCGGUUAGUGUUACUCGUUGUUUUGAUCAAUGCAUGGGGCUAGUGCUCAUUAUCAGCGACGUGGUCAGUUAGGUCACUAGUUGCUGGUGAAAUGGCGUCUAAGCAGGAGAAAGCGCAAUGUGUGCUUUAGUUUCAUGAAACGUAAUCGCCCAUCAGUAUUCAACGUAAAUUUCGGGCUUAUUAAGGACGCAGCCCUCCUGGCGUUAUAUCAGUAAAGAAGUGGUGUGCAACGUUUAACGAAACCCGAAACAAGCAGCGUUGAAUAUCGCCCUCGAAGUGGCAUGCCUCGUGUGAGUAAAACAACAGUUGGUAGUGGUCGGCAAUAGUUUCAACGGAGUCCCUCUAAAUUAACUCGUCAAGCACCAUCACGUGAACUUCAAAUACCGCAAGUAAGUGUGGUGAAGAUUCAUUAAAGGUGUAGGUUUGUAUGCUUACAAAGUGCAAAUCGUGUAAGCCUUCUGACAUGUUGCUGAAUUUGCAACUGAAAUCCUCAAGAGGAUUGAUGGCCCUAACGUUUAUUUAGUGUAUGCUUUAUCGAUGAAUCAACCUUUCAUGUUAGUGGAAUGGUAAAUAGGCAUAAUGUCCGUAUAUUGGGUAGGAGUCUCAACAAGCUACUAUACAGUUACAGCUAAAAAGUGAACGCUGCCUCAUGCAUAACAAGGUUUUUGACCGUUUUUCUUCGCGGAAAUAUCAAUAACCGCUAACAGUUACUUUGACGUUUUGCAAUAGUUCAUUCCCACACAGAAGAAUAUAAACCAUGGAUAAUUUUCCAGCAAGAUGGAGUACUCCUAUAUCGCCCACUGGGCUUUGAUAGUGCGUGAUUUCCUGGAUGAAAAGCGGAUUGGAAGGAACGGUCCAACAUUCUGGCCAUCUCGCUCUCCAGGCAUUACGCCUCUUGAGGCCUUUUUUUUUCCUCCUGCGGAUAUAUCAAGGUCAGUCUUCGUCAUGGCGACGAACUGAAGCUGCUGUUUGUACUGUGACGGAACGCAUGUUACGGAACACCUGUCGGAACUAUUAACACUUAAGCUAAUAACCGCAUCAAAUGUAAAUUAUGUCAAACGGUUUUUCUGUAAUUGUGUAAUCAGGGCAACACUUUGUGCUCACUUCUUUUUUUUUACAUUCCGUGGACGAUUCGAGUGAAUGAUGGUCGAGUUGGACCACGCGACAGGAGCCCACAUCGAGCAUCUCUUAAUGGAGAGAUCAUUGCAAGGCUGUGCAAGAAAACUGGAAGCAGACAGUGUAAAAGGAUUGGGUUUGUUUUCAGGAUUUGUGACAGUUCUUACUCAGUAAAAUAAUGGCAUGUAAUAAUGUAGAACUUUAUUUAAUAAAGACUUCCACAAAGUGAUA
Molecule: long non-coding RNA, 1515 nt
Organism: Schistocerca gregaria
Lineage: Eukaryota; Metazoa; Arthropoda; Insecta; Orthoptera; Acrididae
Exons: 2
Source: RefSeq, a predicted model, not a curated record